RNAcentral lists this ribosomal RNA (497 nucleotides) under uncultured bacterium. RNAcentral's name for it is "partial 16S ribosomal RNA". It matches the Rfam family "Bacterial small subunit ribosomal RNA", at positions 28 to 507 of the family's 1533-position model. The record is from RNAcentral.
GAUGAACGCUGGCGGCGUGCCUAAUACAUGCAAGUCGAGCGAACAGAUGAGGAGCUUGCUCCUCUGACGUUAGCGGCGGACGGGUGAGUAACACGUGGAUAACCUACCUAUCAGACUGGGAUAACUUCGGGAAACCGGAGCUAAUACCGGAUAAUAUCUUGAACCGCAUGGUUCAAUAGUGAAAGACGGUUUUGCUGUCACUUAUAGAUGGAUCCGCGCCGCAUUAGCUAGUUGGUAAGGUAACGGCUUACCAAGGCAACGAUGCGUAGCCGACCUGAGAGGGUGAUCGGCCACGCUGGAACUGAGACACGGUCCAUACGCCUACGGGAGGCAGCAGUAGGGAAUCUUCCGCAAUGGGCGAAAGCCUGACGGAGCAACGCCGCGUGAGUGAUGAAGGUCUUCGGAUCGUAAAACUCUGUUAUUAGGGAAGAACAAAUGUGUAAGUAACUAUGCACUGCUUGACGGUACCUAAUCAGAAAGCCACGGCUAACUACGUG